This 754-nucleotide ribosomal RNA is filed under the name uncultured bacterium. RNAcentral's name for it is "bacterial SSU rRNA". It matches the Rfam family "Bacterial small subunit ribosomal RNA", at positions 1 to 749 of the family's 1533-position model. The record is from RNAcentral.
AAUUCGAUUGUUUGAUCAUGGCUCAGGAUGAACGCUAGCGGCAGGCUUAACACAUGCAAGUCGAGGGGCAGCACAGGUAGCAAUACUGGGUGGCGACCGGCAAACGGGUGCGGAACACGUACGCAACCUUCCUUUAACUGGAGAAUAGCCCCUCGAAAGAGGGAUUAAUACUCCGUAACAUGUUGAUAAGGCAUCUUAUUAAUAUUAUAGCCUUCGGGCGGUUGAAGAUGGGCGUGCGCCUGAUUAGAUAGUUGGCGGGGUAACGGCCCACCAAGUCUGCGAUCAGUAACUGGUGUGAGAGCACGACCAGUCACACGGGCACUGAGACACGGGCCCGACUCCUACGGGAGGCAGCAGUAAGGAAUAUUGGUCAAUGGACGAAAGUCUGAACCAGCCAUGCCGCGUGGAGGAUUAAGGCCCUCUGGGUUGUAAACUCCUUUUAUCUGGGAAGAAAUGCCAUUUUUCUAAAUGGUUUGACGGUACCAGAGGAAUAAGCACCGGCUAACUCCGUGCCAGCAGCCGCGGUAAUACGGAGGGUGCAAGCGUUAUCCGGAUUCACUGGGUUUAAAGGGUGCGUAGGCGGGCAGGUAAGUCCGUGGUGAAAUCUCUGAGCUUAACUCAGAAACUGCCAUGGAUACUAUUUGUCUUGAAUACUGUGGAGGUAAGCGGAAUAUGUCAUGUAGCGGUGAAAUGCUUAGAUAUGACAUGGAACACCAAUUGCGAAGGCAGCUUACUACACAGUUAUUGACGCCGA